This 255-nucleotide ribosomal RNA is filed under the name uncultured bacterium. Its description in RNAcentral is "partial 16S ribosomal RNA". It matches the Rfam family "Bacterial small subunit ribosomal RNA", at positions 29 to 290 of the family's 1533-position model. The record is from RNAcentral.
AGCGAACGCUGGCGGCAGGCCUAAUACAUGCAAGUCGAACGAAGCCUUCGGGCUUAGUGGCGGACGGGUGAGUAACACGUGGGAACGUACCCUUUGGUUCGGAACAACUCAGGGAAACUUGAGCUAAUACCGAAUGUGCCCCACUACUUACCUAAAGAAGUGGUGGGGUAAGGAAAUUAUUUACGCCGACCUUAGGUUAGGACGGCCCCGGCCCGUCGUUACGUAGUUAAGUUACGUACGUUUAGGGUUGGGUAA